Myodes glareolus (Bank vole) is the source of this 1091-nucleotide long non-coding RNA. RefSeq lists it as uncharacterized. NCBI's taxonomy places the organism in Eukaryota, Metazoa, Chordata, Mammalia, Rodentia, Cricetidae. The record is from RefSeq and is a predicted model, not a curated record.
UUAUCCUGGGUUCCUGAACUAGCUUUUUGGAGCCCAUUCCCUACAGUAGGAUACCUUGCCUCAACCUUGAUACAGAGGGGAGGGGCUUGGUCCUGCCUCAACUUAGUACGCCAGACUUAGCUGACUCCACAAGAGAGGCCUUACCCACUCUGAGGAACAGAUGCAGGGAGGGGUUGGAUGGCGGAGAAUGGAGUUGCUCUUGGUUCAAUGAAGAAAGCUGGUUGGUGGUCUGUUCCCUCCUAUUCCUGGCUCCUAACAUGAGUUGGACUACAACAUGGAACCCUGUUGCCCUGCAGAAGGUUCUCAUCUGAGAUGAUGGUGGCUUGGGACAAGGAGGACACUUCCUGCUAUUCUAAUCCCAGGUCACAAGACACAUUCAACAGUGCCAGACAACUUACUCCUCCCAGAAUGGCUUUGACGACUUCCUCACUGCUGGAGACUCCCCAGAGGAGCGUACAGGUCUAGAAGAGACAGAAAAAUACUCAAGAUAUGUCAAAUCACAGUCAACAUUCCUACAGCCCUGUUUCUAAGCUCUCUUCCAUUUUCAAGCCAUACUAGAAAUUCCUUUUUAUUUUGGGGAGCGAGGAGAAUAGAUGCUGGACACUGAACCCUGCGCCUGUGUACACUAAGCACACUAUGGUACUGACCUGCUUCCAGUCCUGAAAGAAAUUCUGCUGCUACCUUACUUUGUGAUUUUAAGACCUCAUUUACUGCCAGACAUGUACUCAAGGCUUCAAGAAAAUGAGUUAUUUAAAGGACUGAAGGCAGAGCUGAGAAGCCCGACUAUCUCAUGGCAGAAACGUGUAUCUGUGCCAUAAAAAGCAGAAGGCAUCUCAGGAGUAGCUGGUGCCAGCAGGAGCUGACUCACAAAGCAAUCCCACCAACUGGCAGACUGACUCAAUGGGAACAACUGCAGUAGUAGUCAAUGGAGGUGGGAAGCCACAGAGAACAAGACAAGAAAACGCUACAGUGUGGGGGCAGUGACUACGUAACACUUCCUCUCCACCAUAAUCUUUUAGCUUAUGAGUCAUAUUGCCAACAAAAAAACCAAAGAUACCCACAUCAAUAAAUCAAUGAAAAAUAUUAUCAAC